RNAcentral lists this ribosomal RNA (360 nucleotides) under uncultured bacterium. RNAcentral describes it as "bacterial SSU rRNA". It matches the Rfam family "Bacterial small subunit ribosomal RNA", at positions 28 to 390 of the family's 1533-position model. The record is from RNAcentral.
GACGAACGCUGGCGGCGUGCUUAACACAUGCAAGUCGAGCGGUAAGGCCCUUUUGGGGGUACACGAGCGGCGAACGGGUGAGUAACACGUGGGUGACCUGCCCUCAGCUCUGGGAUAAGCCUGGGAAACUGGGUCUAAUACUGGAUAUGACCUUUCCUCGCAUGGGGUUGGGUGGAAAAGUUUUUCGGCUGGGGAUGGGCCCGCGGCCUGUCAGCGUGUUGGUGGGGUGAUGGCCUACCAAGGCGACGACGGGUAGCCGGCCUGAGAGGGCGACCGGCCACACUGGGACUGAGACACGGCCCAGACUCCUACGGGAGGCAGCAGUGGGGAAUAUUGCGCAAUGGGCGGAAGCCUGACGCA